This 254-nucleotide ribosomal RNA is filed under the name uncultured bacterium. RNAcentral describes it as "partial 16S ribosomal RNA". It matches the Rfam family "Bacterial small subunit ribosomal RNA", at positions 524 to 776 of the family's 1533-position model. The record is from RNAcentral.
UACGGGGGGAGCAAGCGUUGUUCGGAUUUACUGGGCGUAAAGGGCGCGUAGGCGGCCACCGCAAGUCGACUGUGAAAUCUCCGGGCUUAACCCGGAAAGGUCAGCCGAUACUGCGGGGCUAGAGUGCAGAAGGGGCAACUGGAAUUCUCGGUGUAGCGGUGAAAUGCGUAGACAUCGAGAGGAACACCUGCGGCGAAGGCGGGUUGCUGGGCUGACACUGACGCUGAGGCGCGAAAGCUAGGGGAGCGAACGGG